RNAcentral lists this ribosomal RNA (253 nucleotides) under uncultured bacterium. RNAcentral's name for it is "partial 16S ribosomal RNA". It matches the Rfam family "Bacterial small subunit ribosomal RNA", at positions 524 to 776 of the family's 1533-position model. The record is from RNAcentral.
UACGAAGGGGGCUAGCGUUGCUCGGAAUCACUGGGCGUAAAGCGCACGUAGGCGGGUCUUUAAGUCGGGGGUGAAAUCCUGAGGCUCAACCUCAGAACUGCCUUCGAUACUGAUGAUCUUGAGUCCGGGAGAGGUGAGUGGAACUGCGAGUGUAGAGGUGAAAUUCGUAGAUAUUCGCAAGAACACCAGUGGCGAAGGCGGCUCACUGGCCCGGUACUGACGCUGAGAUACGAAAGCGUGGGGAGCAAACAGG